GGUGCGUGUGCCCGAGGCCCUCUCCCCUCCGAAGCCCCCACAGGGCGGGUCUCGCGUCAUCACGCAGAAACCGGAGUCGCAGAGGCGGGAGGGGGCUUUUCGGGUCACACUUCCCCCAAAAAUAAACCUGUUUUAAAAAUAAUGUGUGAAUCAAACAGCAACAGGAAGCUGAUAGAGCUCAAUGCAAGCACCUGCCUUUUUCCUCCACAAGCAACUAAAAUAAACUUAAAAUCAACUCGCGGCCCCGGAAGUCGGCGCCUGGUUAUCGACGCUCACCUGAUCAGCCGUGCCUGGGACAGGUCUCUGACUGGCAGGGCCGAGAGAAGGCAGAGGCGGCUCUGGCUGACCCAGGGACCAGGAAAAGCCGCAGUGGAGUUUUGGGGCCACCGGUCACGUGCUGCGGGCCCAAGGCCGUGCGUCCCACCGCUCGGCUCCCAGCCCUACCUCUGCUGUCCACUCCGGACGCUCAGGGAAGGGAGCGGUGGGCUGGGCUCAGGGGGACUCUCCAAGGCACCGCUCGGUCGCUGACUGCGGAAGGCGUGCCCCUGGCGCCUGCCCCGUUUAGCCCUCGACUCAGCGCCUGUGACUGCCAGCAUCUCCCCGGCCAGGCUGUAAGCUUCCUGAGGACAGGCAGCCACCUGCGGGCCCCGCCCAGCACACGCUGGAACAAGGCAACCAAGCCGGGAAACGGGAGCAGGGGAAGGAGGCACAGCCACCCCUGGGUCGGUUUCCCACGGCUGCUCUCACAAACCAGCACAAAAUCACGGCAAGGAAUCCCCGCGCGUGUUCUCUCGAGGGGUCUGAAACCCGUCUGUCAUGGCAUAAAACUGACACGUGGCAGAGUCUGGCUACAGCCUGUGUCCUCGCUGUCCAGCUCCGAGAGGCACCCGCGGUCCGGGGUGGGGGCUCCUAUGCCCAGCACCAGCGACUUCGGCCACCUCUGUCUGUCUGCCACACCUCAGCUAUGUUCUUCUUUCUUAAAACAAUUUCUAUUUAAUUUGAAAGGGAGAAAGAGAGAGAGAGAGAGAGAGAGAGACCGUCCAUCUGCUGGUUCACACCCCAAAGGCCUGUGACAGCUGGGACUGCCGGGAAAUCAGUCAGGGUGCCAGGAACCGGAGUACCAGGCCCACCGUCCCCGGUGCGUCUUAGCGGGGAGGUGCAUCGGAAGUGGAGGCGCUGGGACUAGAACCGGCUCCGGGGUGGGAGGCGGGCCAUCCACUCCAGGAGCCUCUGCGGUGAGCCUGCC
RNAcentral lists this long non-coding RNA (1246 nucleotides) under Oryctolagus cuniculus (rabbit). RNAcentral describes it as "lncRNA (ENSOCUG00000034463.1)". The record is from RNAcentral. Lineage: Eukaryota; Metazoa; Chordata; Mammalia; Lagomorpha; Leporidae.